UGAAGGAAGAGGAGAUGGAGGGAUGACGGGAUGACGGAAGAGGAGAUGGAGGGAUGACGGGAUGAAGGAAGAAUGUGAAUGUGAAUUCUUCACAUUCCCAGUUAAUGUGUAUCGUUUCCUUUAAUCUGUGGGCUUCAGCCUACAUUAUGUCUGGCUUGUGGUGGUGCAUUAUACAUGAGACGGUCAUUAGUGGUUAGGUUAGCCACAGCUCUGUAACACUGUCACAGGUGUCCCUGUGCUAACUGGGUAUCCUACAUUAUGUCUGGUUAGGUUAGCCACAGCUCUGUAACACUGUCACAGGUGUCCCUGUGCUAACUGGGUAUCCUACAUUAUGUCUGGUUAGGUUAGCCACAGCUCUGUAACACUGUCACAGGUGUCCCUGUGCUAACUGGGUAUCCUACAUUAUGUCUGGUGUCCCUGUGCUAACUGGGUAUCCUACAUUAUGUCUGGUUAGGUUAGCCACAGCUCUGUAACACUGUCACAGGUGUCCCUGUGCUAACUGGGUAUCCUACAUUAUGUCUGGUUAGGUUAGCCACAGCUCUGUAACACUGUCACAGGUGUCCCUGUGCUAACUGGGUAUCCUACAUUAUGUCUGGUUAGGUUAGUCACAGCUCUGUAACACUGUCACAGGUGUCCCUGUGCUAACUGGGUAUCCUACAUUAUGUCUGGUUAGGUUAGUCACAGCUCUGUAACACUGUCACAGGUGUCCCUGUGCUAACUGGGUAUCCUACAUUAUGUCUGGUUAGGUUAGCCACAGCUCUGUAACACUGUCACAGGUGUCCCUGUGCUAACUGGGUAUCCUACAUUAUGUCUGGUUAGGUUAGCCACAGCUCUGUAACACUGUCACAGGUGUCCCUGUGCUAACUGGGUAUCCUACAUUAUGUCUGGUUAGGUUAGUCACAGCUCUGUAACACUGUCACAGGUGUCCCUGUGCUAACUGGGUAUCCUACAUUAUGUCUGGUUAGGUUAGCCACAGCUCUGUAACACUGUCACAGGUGUCCCUGUGCUAACUGGGUAUCCUACAUUAUGUCUGGUUAGGUUAGUCACAGCUCUGUAACACUGUCACAGGUGUCCCUGUGCUAACUGGGUAUCCUACAUUAUGUCUGGUUAGGUUAGCCACAGCUCUGUAACACUGUCACAGGUGUCCCUGUGCUAACUGGGUAUCCUACAUUAUGUCUGGUUAGGUUAGCCACAGCUCUGUAACACUGUCACAGGUGUCCCUGUGCUAACUGGGUAUCCUACAUUAUGUCUGGUUAGGUUAGCCACAGCUCUGUAACACUGUCACAGGUGUCCCUGUGCUAACUGGGUAUCCUACAUUAUGUCUGGCUUGUGGUGGUGCAUUAUACAUGAGACGGUCAUUAGUGGUUAGGUUAGCCACAGCUCUGUAACACUGUCACAGGUGUCCCUGUGCUAACUGGGUAUCCUACAUUAUGUCUGGUUAGGUUAGCCACAGCUCUGUAACACUGUCACAGGUGUCCCUGUGCUAACUGGGUAUCCUACAUUAUGUCUGGUUAGGUUAGCCACAGCUCUGUAACACUGUCACAGGUGUCCCUGUGCUAACUGGGUAUCCUACAUUAUGUCUGGUUAGGUUAGCCACAGCUCUGUAACACUGUCACAGGUGUCCCUGUGCUAACUGGGUAUCCUACAUUAUGUCUGGUUAGGUUAGCCACAGCUCUGUAACACUGUCACAGGUGUCCCUGUGCUAACUGCCGGGCCGUAUCCUACAGUUGUG
Oncorhynchus tshawytscha (Chinook salmon) is the source of this 1732-nucleotide long non-coding RNA. RefSeq lists it as uncharacterized. The transcript is spliced from 3 exons. The record is from RefSeq and is a predicted model, not a curated record. NCBI's taxonomy places the organism in Eukaryota, Metazoa, Chordata, Actinopteri, Salmoniformes, Salmonidae.